CUAGCCGUAAACGAUGGAUACUAGGCGUUGAGAGGAUCGACCCUCGCAGUGCCGUAGCUAACGCGUUAAGUAUCCCGCCUGGGGAGUACGCGCGCAAGCGUGAAACUCAAAGGAAUUGACAGGGGCCCGCACAAGCGGUGGAGUAUGUGGUUUAAUUCGAUGCAAUGCGAAGAACCUUACCAGGGCUUGACAUGUCCGGAACCCUGCCCAAAGGUGGGGGUGCCUACGGGAGCCGGAACACAGGUGGUGC
This 250-nucleotide ribosomal RNA is filed under the name uncultured Chroococcidiopsis sp. Its description in RNAcentral is "partial 16S ribosomal RNA". It matches the Rfam family "Bacterial small subunit ribosomal RNA", at positions 796 to 1044 of the family's 1533-position model. The record is from RNAcentral. Lineage: Bacteria; Bacillati; Cyanobacteriota; Cyanophyceae; Chroococcidiopsidales; Chroococcidiopsidaceae.